AACGAACGCUGGCGGCAGGCCUAACACAUGCAAGUCGAACGCCGUAGCAAUACGGAGUGGCAGACGGGUGAGUAACGCGUGGGAACCUUCCCUAUGGUUCGGAAUAGCUCAGGGAAACCUGGGGUAAUACCGGAUAAGCCCUUCGGGGGAAAGAUUUAUCGCCAUUGGAUGGGCCCGCGUCGGAUUAGCUAGUUGGUGAGGUAACGGCUCACCAAGGCGACGAUCCGUAGCUGGUCUGAGAGGAUGAUCAGCCACACUGGGACUGAGACACGGCCCAGACUCCUACGGGAGGCAGCAGUGGGGAAUAUUGGACAAUGGGCGAAAGCCUGAUCCAGCCAUGCCGCGUGAGUGACGAAGGCCUUAGGGUUGUAAAGCUCUUUUGGCGGGGAAGAUAAUGACGGUACCCGCAGAAUAAGCUCCGGCUAACUUCGUGCCAGCCGCCGCCGUAACAC
Molecule: ribosomal RNA, 452 nt
Filed under: uncultured bacterium
Lineage: Bacteria
Description: bacterial SSU rRNA
Rfam family: Bacterial small subunit ribosomal RNA
Source: RNAcentral